UACGGAGGGGGCUAGCGUUGUUCGGAAUUACUGGGCGUAAAGCGCACGUAGGCGGCUUUGUAAGUUAGAGGUGAAAGCCCAGGGCUCAACCCUGGAAUUGCCUUUAAGACUGCAUCGCUAGAAUUGUGGAGAGGUAAGUGGAAUUCCGAGUGUAGAGGUGAAAUUCGUAGAUAUUCGGAAGAACACCAGUGGCGAAGGCGACUUACUGGACACAUAUUGACGCUGAGGUGCGAAAGCGUGGGGAACAAACAGG
Molecule: ribosomal RNA, 253 nt
Filed under: uncultured bacterium
Lineage: Bacteria
Description: partial 16S ribosomal RNA
Rfam family: Bacterial small subunit ribosomal RNA
Source: RNAcentral